This 74-nucleotide transfer RNA is filed under the name Cordylochernes scorpioides. Its description in RNAcentral is "tRNA-Thr". Lineage: Eukaryota; Metazoa; Arthropoda; Arachnida; Pseudoscorpiones; Chernetidae. The record is from RNAcentral.
UGUCAAGGGAUGGGAAUCGAACCCACACCUUCUGCUUACCGGGCAGAUGCCAUGACCACUAGGCUACCCUGGAC